Microcebus murinus (gray mouse lemur) is the source of this 1801-nucleotide long non-coding RNA. RefSeq lists it as uncharacterized. Lineage: Eukaryota; Metazoa; Chordata; Mammalia; Primates; Cheirogaleidae. The record is from RefSeq and is a predicted model, not a curated record.
CCCGGGAAAGCGGGAUUUGUGUCGAGUCUAUUUCCCCGGCUGUAGGAUCACAGGCAUCCAGCUUCGCCUAACCCACCAAAACAUUGCCGCUUCUUUUCUUUUCUUUUUUUCUUUUCUUUUCUCCUUUUCUUUUUCUUUUUUCUUUUAAGCGCAACAGCCCGGAGAUGACCAAAGGAGGCAGAACACUUGGAUGGGGCACUGGGUUCCCUGCCCCUGAGCCUGCGGCCCCCACACACGCCCCCUGCAUCCCCGAGGGCGGCCGGGGAGCUGCCGAUGCGCCCCCGCUCCGGGCCCCGCACGAGGCCAGCGGCCGCGCCGAGUCCCGCGCUUGUCCAUCCUUAUGCAAAUGAUUACAGGCCGCGGACAAAGCCGGAGUGGGGGGUCUCGGACGGCUCCACAAAGCCGCCCAGCUCGGGGCUAGGAGGCUCCAUCCGGGAGCAGACUCCCUGCUCGCCUGGGAGAGCGCAUUCUCUGCGGGCGAUGGAUGAAGGCACAUUCAUCUUACCUGGGAAACGGAGGGGGCCGCGGAGAGCAGGCGAGGCGGGAGGGGGCUCCGCGCCCACCCCCGCCCAGGCUGCAGUCCCCGACCUGUCCCCGUCGUCCCGCUGGGCGACGACUUUUGUUCAUUUCACAAGCGACCGCGCAUCACACGGUAGUCCCAGCGGAGAGGACAAGCUCCCACGAACGGAUGGAAAGAGGAAGGUGGGGAAGAGGAGAGACGGUAGUGGACGUGGAGAUUUUUUUUUUUUCGCAUUUUGUUUUCCCGGUCUUACCCCCGAAAUUUACAGAAAAGCGGCAAGGCAGCAAGCGACUUGCUGAAAGUAACCAAACUCCUCCGCACAAGGGUGCUUGUUAGCGCCUAGCAGCACGCCAGCUCAGCGCGCUUCUUUGGAGCCGGGGAGUCUGCGGAAAUGAUUCCGAGUCGGAUGCAGACCGGUGCGCGGCGCCGCGGCCCCGAGGGCGAACCCGCGCGCGGACCGCUCCGGUGCCGCGGGGAGCGCCGCUCCGAGCCUCUGGCCCCUCGCUGGCCCAACGGCGGGGGAUCAGAGGGGACGGGCCGGUGAGCGGCUUCCGUCCACCCCUGGUGUCGCCAAGGCGGCUUGUACCUGGGACUGUCUCCACCUGGGGAGCUUGCGGAAGACAAAAGCGAGGAGAAUAGCUGCACGGCUCCACGGGAACUCUUUUAGAGCCAAAAAUAUCAAGGCGGAAUCACUCAACAGCUGCAUCCACACGCACCGCGUUUUUGGAAGAGAACGGGCAGCGCCGAGCUGAUUUGUAUUUGAUUUUUUUUUUUUUACUUUCUCUCUCUCUGGGGUGGGGGGGAGGUCAGUUUUCUGGCCGCCUUCAGAAAAGGAGUCACUUCAAAAAGAAAGCGAGGGCGACACGAGACCUGAAUCUGCGUGUGUUGCUCGAGAUGCAGAUGUCCGGCCGCCUUGGAAAUGAAUGCGGAUGGGGAGCGUCCCCGGUUUCUUGAAGAGCUAUCCAUCUACCUUCAGUUCGUUUACAGAUGCUCGGCACUGAUUCCCCUGGACAAAAACAGGGACAGGAACAAGCUCACUCCAAGGGUGUGGGAAGAACAAAGGCUUUUGUGAACUUUCUUCUGGCAGCAGAGGAAAAAGAGCAGACACUUUUUUUGUGGAGCCUCCUAACUCAGUGCCACAUGGAGUGUUAUGCCAAUAGGAAUCAAUUACCCCCUGGGAGGAGACUUUCCCGGCUUCCUUCCUGGUGGCUGGCACCUUAUUAGUGAGGACCUCUCUCUCUCCUAUUGUUUUAGAAAGAUUAAAGCCUGCAGCUUCAGUUA